AUGGGUUUGCCACUCUCAAGUGCUGUCCAAUGAUGGGGUGAAUGGCAACUACAUGUCCUUGCUCUUGGCAGCCUUGGUAUGCAGUAUGUCCUCGCUAUUUUCGCCGGCUUCCGCAACGCCCGUGCCCCGCCGUUGUUCAGAUUUAUCACCUGGCUCGCGUUCCUGGGAAGCGAUGCCAUGGCCAUAUAUGCCCUCGCCACGCUCUUCAACCGGCAAAGGUACCAGCAGCCACACAGCUCUACCUCUGAGCAUGACAGCCAUGGUCUGCAGGUGCUUUGGGCACCUAUCUUGCUGAUGCACCUUGGCGGGCAGGUCGGCAUAACUGCCUAUAAUAUUGAAGAUAACGAGCUAUGGAGGCGGCACAUUGUGACCGCGCUAUCUCAGGUGAGUGUUGUUAAAUUUUCUUUUCCUAUAUAA
This 417-nucleotide ribosomal RNA is filed under the name Triticum aestivum (bread wheat). Its description in RNAcentral is "partial small subunit ribosomal RNA". Lineage: Eukaryota; Viridiplantae; Streptophyta; Magnoliopsida; Poales; Poaceae. The record is from RNAcentral.